Molecule: ribosomal RNA, 491 nt
Filed under: uncultured bacterium
Lineage: Bacteria
Description: bacterial SSU rRNA
Rfam family: Bacterial small subunit ribosomal RNA
Source: RNAcentral
GAUGAACGCUAGCUACAGGCUUAACACAUGCAAGUCGAGGGGAAACGACAUCGAAAGCUUGCUUUUGAUGGGCGUCGACCGGCGCACGGGUGAGUAACGCGUAUCCAACCUGCCCACCACUUGGGGAUAACCUUGCGAAAGUAAGACUAAUACCCAAUGAUAUCCCACGAAGGCAUCCGAAUGGGAUUAAAGAUUUAUCGGUGAUGGAUGGGGAUGCGUCUGAUUAGCUUGUUGGCGGGGUAACGGCCCACCAAGGCAACGAUCAGUAGGGGUUCUGAGAGGAAGGUCCCCCCACAUUGGAACUGAGACACGGUCCAAACUCCUACGGGAGGCAGCAGUGAGGAAUAUUGGUCAAUGGGCGAGAGCCUGAACCAGCCAAGUAGCGUGCAGGAUGACGGCCCUAUGGGUUGUAAACUGCUUUUAUAAGGGAUAAAGUGAGUCUCGUGAGGCUUUUUGCAUGUACCUUAUGAAUAAGGACCGGCUAAUCCGUG